AUUCAGUUGGUAGAGCAUGGUGUUUGCAACACCAGGGUUGUGGGUUCGAUUCCCAC
This 56-nucleotide transfer RNA is filed under the name Salmo salar (Atlantic salmon). It matches the Rfam family "tRNA", at positions 10 to 63 of the family's 71-position model. From Rfam's summary of the family: Transfer RNA (tRNA) molecules are approximately 80 nucleotides in length. Their secondary structure includes four short double-helical elements and three loops (D, anti-codon, and T loops). RNAcentral also lists the same sequence under 1 other name. Lineage: Eukaryota; Metazoa; Chordata; Actinopteri; Salmoniformes; Salmonidae. The record is from Rfam by way of RNAcentral.